RNAcentral lists this ribosomal RNA (253 nucleotides) under uncultured bacterium. RNAcentral describes it as "partial 16S ribosomal RNA". It matches the Rfam family "Bacterial small subunit ribosomal RNA", at positions 524 to 776 of the family's 1533-position model. The record is from RNAcentral.
UACGUAGGUGGCAAGCGUUGUCCGGAUUUACUGGGCGUAAAGGGCUCGUAGGCGGCCAACUAAGUCACACGUGAAAUCCCUCGGCUCAACCGGGGAACUGCGUGUGAGACUGGAUGGCUUGAGUUUGGGAGAGGAAUGCGGAAUUCCAGGUGUAGCGGUGAAAUGCGUAGAUAUCCGGAGGAACACCAGAGGCGAAGGCGGCCUACUGGGCUGCUCCUGACGCUGAGCCGCGAAAGCCAGGGGAGCGAACAGG